RNAcentral lists this ribosomal RNA (253 nucleotides) under uncultured bacterium. RNAcentral describes it as "partial 16S ribosomal RNA". It matches the Rfam family "Bacterial small subunit ribosomal RNA", at positions 524 to 776 of the family's 1533-position model. The record is from RNAcentral.
UGCGUAGGGGGCAAGCGUUAUCCGGAUUUACUGGGUGUAAAGGGAGCGUAGACGGCGAUGCAAGUCUGAAGUGAAAGGCGGGGGCCCAACCCCCGGACUGCUUUGGAAACUGUAUGGCUGGAGUGCAGGAGAGGUAAGUGGAAUUCCUAGUGUAGCGGUGAAAUGCGUAGAUAUUAGGAGGAACACCAGUGGCGAAGGCGGCUUACUGGACUGUAACUGACGUUGAGGCUCGAAAGCGUGGGGAGCAAACAGG